Molecule: long non-coding RNA, 559 nt
Organism: Calidris pugnax (ruff)
Lineage: Eukaryota; Metazoa; Chordata; Aves; Charadriiformes; Scolopacidae
Exons: 3
Source: RefSeq, a predicted model, not a curated record
CAGGAGUAAUUUAUUUGAAUAGCGCACAUGAAGAAAUUGCAUCUGCACUGGCUGAGCUCUGUGUAAGAACCAAAGGGGAAAAAGCAUUUAAUUAUCAAGUGAUGAAACACUGAGGCGAUGAGGCUUGUGUCCAUACGCUCUCGGCCUGGACCAUAAUGACAGAGCAUUUCCACCGAGUCCUCCCCUCACCCUUUCACUCAAGAGUCUCUACAAAACCAGCUGGCAGUAAUUCAUACUGACAUUUCCUUGCCGGUGGCCAUGCAACCGCACGCUGCCUCUUCUGUAAGGAGUUCUUACCCAUCCAGAAAGUGAGAGGGAGUGAGGAGAAAAGCCAGACCAUGGGGACAUCACAGCGCCCUGCCUUCAGCCCACCUUUGGGGAGGUACAAGAGCAUCAGCUACUGCCUGGGGUGCCCGGUGCCUGCCCCGUCAGAGCGCUGCCGUGACCCCCCUUUGCUCAGCUCUCCUGCCUGAGACCCACCUCCCAGCAGGGGCUGGGAAAUGGCCCGGCAGCCGCUGGCUUUAAGGAUGUGGCUGAGCAGAGAGCUCCUGGAGCAGCA